This 498-nucleotide ribosomal RNA is filed under the name uncultured bacterium. Its description in RNAcentral is "partial 16S ribosomal RNA". It matches the Rfam family "Bacterial small subunit ribosomal RNA", at positions 30 to 523 of the family's 1533-position model. The record is from RNAcentral.
AUUGAACGCUGGCGGCAUGCCUUACACAUGCAAGUCGAACGGUGACAGGUCUUCGGAUGCUGACGAGUGGCGAACGGGUGAGUAAUACAUCGGAACGUGCCUAGUAGUGGGGGAUAACUACUCGAAAGAGUGGCUAAUACCGCAUGAGAUCUACGGAUGAAAGCAGGGGAUCGCAAGACCCUGUGCUACUAGAGCGGCCGAUGGCAGAUUAGGUAGUUGGUGGGACAAAAGCUUACCAAGCCGACGAUCUGUAGCUGGUCUGAGAGGACGAUCAGCCACACUGGGACUGAGACACGGCCCAGACUCCUACGGGAGGCAGCAGUGGGGAAUUUUGGACAAUGGGCGAAAGCCUGAUCCAGCAAUGCCGCGUGCAGGAUGAAGGCCUUCGGGUUGUAAACUGCUUUUGUACGGAACGAAAAGCCCUGGGUUAAUACCCUGGGGUCAUGACGGUACCGUAAGAAUAAGCACCGGCUAACUACGUGCCAGCCGCCGCCGUAA